GCGCACCAGGCGCGAAACUUCACAAUGUGCGAAAGCACGAUGAGGGAAUCCCAAGUGCUUGCACGUAAGUGUAAGCUGUUUCUCUGUCUAAAACGCAGAGAGAGUAAGGGCUGGGUAAGACGGGUGCCAGCCGCCGCGGUAAUACCUGCAGCUCGAGUGGUGACCGUUAUUAUUGGGCCUAAAACGUCCGUAGCCGGUUUAAUAAAUGCCUGGGUAAAUCGGACCGCUUAACGGUUCGAAUUCCGGGUAGACUGUUAAACUUGAGACCGGGAGAAGUUAGAGGUACUCCUGGGGUAGAGGUGAAAUUCUGUAAUCCUAGGGGGACCACCAGUGGCGAAGGCGUCUAACUAGAACGGGUCUGACGGUGAGGGACGAAGCCCCUGGGGCGCAAACGGGGAUUAGAUACCCGCGUAGU
Molecule: ribosomal RNA, 415 nt
Filed under: uncultured microorganism
Description: bacterial SSU rRNA
Rfam family: Archaeal small subunit ribosomal RNA
Source: RNAcentral